RNAcentral lists this ribosomal RNA (305 nucleotides) under uncultured bacterium. Its description in RNAcentral is "bacterial SSU rRNA". It matches the Rfam family "Bacterial small subunit ribosomal RNA", at positions 334 to 654 of the family's 1533-position model. The record is from RNAcentral.
GUGUCCUACGGGGCGCAGCAGUGGGGAAUAUUGGGCAAUGGGCGCAAGCCUGACCCAGCAACGCCGCGUGAAGGAAGAAGGCUUUCGGGUUGUAAACUUCUUUUAAGAGGGAAGAGAAGAAGACGGUACCUCUUGAAUAAGCCACGGCUAACUACGUGCCAGCAGCCGCGGUAAUACGUAGGUGGCAAGUGUUAUCCGGAUUUAUUGGGUGUAAAGGGCGUGUAGGCGGGAGCGCAAGUCAGAUGUGAAAACUCAGGGCUCAACCCUGAGCCUGCAUUUGAAACUGUUGGUCUUGAGUAUCGGAG